Molecule: small nuclear RNA, 104 nt
Filed under: Mustela putorius furo (domestic ferret)
Lineage: Eukaryota; Metazoa; Chordata; Mammalia; Carnivora; Mustelidae
Source: RNAcentral
GGACUUGCUUUGCCAGUGUGUAUAUUAAAUUUAGAUCAGUAUACAGAUUAGCAUGACCUUUGGGUAAGGAUGAAAUGCAAAUUUGUGAAGUAUUUUUCUUUUGC